CUUGGUCAUUUAGAGGAAGUAAAAGUCGUAACAAGGUUUCCGUAGGUGAACCUGCGGAAGGAUCAUUAAAAUAAACGGUGCUCCAAUCGGGACACCGUUUAAGAUAACACCCAUUGUAUUACAAGUACCCAUGUUUCCUCGGCGGGUUCGCCCGCCAAUGGGGACCACUAUAGAACCUUUUUGCAAUAGCAGUAAACGUCUAUAAACAAAUAAUCAAAACUUUCAACAACGGAUCUCUUGGUUCUGGCAUCGAUGAAGAACGCAGCGAAAUGCGAUAAGUAGUGUGAAUUGCAGAAUUCAGUGAAUCAUCGAAUCUUUGAACGCACAUUGCGCCCUUUGGUAUUCCUUAGGGCAUGCCUGUUCGAGCGUCAUCUAACCCUUCAAGCUCUGCUUGGUGUUGGGCGCUUGUCCCGCCGCUGGCGUGGACUCGCCUUGAAAACAUUGGUGGCCAUCUGUAGGACUAUUAUGAGCGCAGUACAUCUCGCUGCUCAGGCUCCUCAGGUGGUGUCCAGCAAGAACCCCAAAGAAUUGACCUCGGAUCAGGUAGGGAUACCCGCUGAACUUAAGCAUAUCAAUAAGCGGAGGA
Molecule: ribosomal RNA, 586 nt
Filed under: uncultured fungus
Lineage: Eukaryota; Fungi
Description: eukaryotic LSU rRNA
Rfam family: 5.8S ribosomal RNA (bases 218-371)
Source: RNAcentral